This is a non-coding RNA of Vicia faba (fava bean), 279 nucleotides long. The record is from the annotation of a GenBank genome assembly. NCBI's taxonomy places the organism in Eukaryota, Viridiplantae, Streptophyta, Magnoliopsida, Fabales, Fabaceae.
AUGAUGCUCUUCUCUGCACCUUCAUCAUCCUCCUUUGAGCUAAUCAAUUCUCAUUCGUUUCAAAGCUCCCCAACAUCACUUCUAAUUCAACUACCAAUUUCUCCACAUAGCGAUUUCUUCUGCAAAUCGUUCAUCAACCUUCAAAGAUCUUCAUCAACGAAUCUGCAACCUUAUCUGUCUUCAGGCCUCUUCCUUAUCAAUCUAUGCAACGCACCUAGAUUGAGGAUUAUCGUGACCGAUUCCCAACUUCAACAACAACGAAGAUGCAACAGUAAUUAG